UCGAGCGCGCCUUUCGGGGUGAGCGGCGGACGGGUUAGUAACGCGUGGGAAUAUACCCUUUUCUACGGAAUAGCCUCUGGAAACGGAGAGUAAUACCGUAUGAGCCCUUCGGGGGAAAGAUUUAUCGGGAAAGGAUUAGCCCGCGUUAGAUUAGGUAGUUGGUGGGGUAAUGGCCUACCAAGCCUACGAUCUAUAGCUGGUUUUAGAGGAUGAUCAGCAACACUGGGACUGAGACACGGCCCAGACUCCUACGGGAGGCAGCAGUGGGGAAUCUUGGACAAUGGGGGCAACCCUGAUCCAGCCAUGCCGCGUGAGUGAUGAAGGCCUUAGGGUCGUAAAGCUCUUUCGCCUGUGAAGAUAAUGACGGUAGCAGGUAAAGAAACCCCGGCUAACUCCGUGCCAGCAGCCGCGGUAAUACGGAGGGGGUUAGCGUUGUUCGGAAUUACUGGGCGUAAAGCGCACGUAGGCGGACUGGAAAGUAUGGGGUGAAAUCCCAGGGCUCAACCCUGGAACUGCCUCAUAAACUCCCAGUCUUGAGUUCGAGAGAGGUGAGUGGAAUUCCAAGUGUAGAGGUGAAAUUCGUAGAUAUUUGGAGGAACACCAGUGGCGAAGGCGGCUCACUGGCUCGAUACUGACGCUGAGGUGCGAAAGUGUGGGGAGCAAACAGGAUUA
RNAcentral lists this ribosomal RNA (672 nucleotides) under Ruegeria sp. CUA-718. Its description in RNAcentral is "bacterial SSU rRNA". It matches the Rfam family "Bacterial small subunit ribosomal RNA", at positions 62 to 780 of the family's 1533-position model. Lineage: Bacteria; Pseudomonadati; Pseudomonadota; Alphaproteobacteria; Rhodobacterales; Roseobacteraceae. The record is from RNAcentral.